GACGAACGCUGGCGGCGUGGAUUAGGCAUGCAAGUCGAACGGUAUCAUCCUUUCGGGGGUGAGAGAGUGGCGAACUGGUGAGUAACACGUAGGUUAUCUACCCUCAAGACGGGGACAACCCAGGGAAACUUGGGCUAAUACCGGAUGUGAGCAACUUUUUAGUUGUUUGAAAGGUGGCGUAAGCUGUCGCUUGGGGAUGAGCCUGCGUCCUAUUAGUUAGUUGGUGAGGUAACGGCUCACCUAGGCAAUGAUAGGUAGGCGGCCUUAACGGGUGGUCGCCCACACUGGGAUUGAGAUACGGCCCAGACUCCUACGGGAGGCAGCAGUCGAGAAUAGUCUACAAUGGUCGGAAGACUGAUAGUGCGACGCCGCGUGAACGAUGAAUCCCUUCGGGUGUAAAGUUCUUUUAUAUGUGAGCAGUGCUUCUUAUAUUAACAGUAUGGGGAGAGAGAUAUUAGCAUAUGAAUAAGCAACGGCUAACUCCGUGCCAGCAGCCGCGGU
This 501-nucleotide ribosomal RNA is filed under the name uncultured bacterium. Its description in RNAcentral is "bacterial SSU rRNA". It matches the Rfam family "Bacterial small subunit ribosomal RNA", at positions 28 to 521 of the family's 1533-position model. The record is from RNAcentral.